This is a non-coding RNA of Petromyzon marinus (sea lamprey), 509 nucleotides long. The record is from RefSeq and is a predicted model, not a curated record. NCBI's taxonomy places the organism in Eukaryota, Metazoa, Chordata, Hyperoartia, Petromyzontiformes, Petromyzontidae.
CUCCAUCCUCCCCCCCACUUCGUUCGUGACCUCUCGUCAAAGUGCACCCAAGUAAAAAAACACAUUCCCGAGACUCACGGCCGAGAACCACGUCGCGACUGCGAGCAAACUCGGAGUUCCAGUCGGCACGUGGCUACCUGCAAACUCGGUCGCCGCCGCCGCUGCUGCUGCUGCUGAUCCUGCUGCUGCUGUUGCUGCUGCUGCUGCCCUUGCUGCUGCUGCUGAUCCUGCUGCUGCUGUUGCUGCUGCUGCUGCCAACUCGUCACCCACGCUCCUCCUGUGAGCGCUUCUGCGUUUCCCCGGGCCUUCACAGACUAGCGGAACGGCGGUGGUGGUGAUGAUGGCAGAUCCCUCUCGACAGAUCUACGUCGUCUAAGCGAGAGACACUACACCAGCCACCAUCAUCAUCACCACCAACCACCACCACCAUCACCACCACCACCUCAUCCAUCAUCACCACCACCACCACCUCCUCCUGCCGAUGGCGACUUCGAGGAGGUCCAUGAUGC